CAACAGCAUCAUCAAAACUUCUCCGAAAUCUACGAAUUCCUUCGGAAGCUGGGAAAAGGUUUGGCAGCUGAUCGAUAUGGUACGAAACGGUACUAAAAGGUGUGACACAGCUGGUGAUCAACACACCGAAUUUCAUUCCCAGUAGCGGGCGGAAAAUGGUUAUGAGAGCUCGAUCGUGGAUCGGAUCGAUAGUAACUAACAAAUAAAAGCUUAGGGAGCUCCAAACUACCGGGUCUUCAACAUAGAAGUUAGCAAAAUGAUUCGAGGAACAACGACGAACUGGAUGGGUAUUCAAGUGUCCAAAAGGAUCGAGUCGUGCUCCGGCAAUCGACGAUGUGAAAUUGGCAAAUCCUCGAUGGAAGGUGAACUUCUGUGAGAUUCAACGGAUGGGGAUCGUCUGUCUUUCCUAUCACGCCAACUAGCGACGAAGCCGGAGACGGUUGAAGGUUUCCUAUUACGCCAACAGGAACGUAGUCAGAGACGGUUUUAGAGGCAGCCUCUUUUGAAGUUCCUUCUUGUGUACCUGUUGAGCCCAUACAUCCAUUUUGAUAACGAUGUGAUACGAAGCGAAGCUUGUAAAUUAUUUGU
This is a long non-coding RNA of Armigeres subalbatus, 588 nucleotides long. RefSeq lists it as uncharacterized. The record is from RefSeq and is a predicted model, not a curated record. Lineage: Eukaryota; Metazoa; Arthropoda; Insecta; Diptera; Culicidae. The transcript has 3 exons.